UUCCGGUUGAUCCUGCCGGAGGCCAUUGCUAUUGGGAUUCGAUUUAGCCAUGCUAGUCGCACGAGUUCAGACUCGUGGCGAAUAGCUCAGUAACACGUGGCCAAACUACCCUUCGGAACACAAUACCCUCGGGAAACUGAGGCUAAUAGUGUAUACCACAGUCCACCUGGAAUGAGGACUGUGUCAAACGCUCCGGCGCCGAAGGAUGUGGCUGCGGCCGAUUAGGUAGACGGUGGGGUAACGGCCCACCGUGCCAAUAAUCGGUACGGGUCAUGAGAGUGAGAACCCGGAGACGGAAUCUGAGACAAGAUUCCGGGCCCUACGGGGCGCAGCAGGCGCGAAACCUUUACACUGCACGACAGUGCGAUAGGGGAAUCCCAAGUGCGUAGCAUAUAGCCCUCGCUUUUCUCGACUGUAAGGUGGUCGACGAAUAAGAGCUGGGCAAGACCGGUGCCAGCCGCCGCGGUAAUACCGGCAGCUCAAGUGAUGUCCCAUAUUAUUGGGCCUAAAGCGUCCGUAGCUGGCCGACCAAGUCUCCCGGGAAAUCCACCCGCCCAACGGGUGGGCGUCCGGUAGAAACUGGCCGGCUUGGAACCGGAAGGCGCGACGGGUACGUCCGGGGUAGGAGUGAAAUCCCGUAAUCCCGGACGGACUACCGAUGGCGAAAGCACGUCGCGAAGACGGAUCCGACAGUGAGGGACGAAAGCUCGGGUCUCAAACCGGAUUAGAUACCCGGGUAGUCCUAGCCGUAAACGAUGCUCGUUAGGUGUGGCACCCACUACGAGUGGGUGCUGCGCCGUAGGGAAGCCGCUAAACAGCCGCCUGGGAAGUACGUCCGCAAGGAUGAAACUUAAAGGAAUUGGCGGGGGAGCACUACAACCGGAGGAGCCUGCGGUUUAAUUGGACUCAACGCCGGAA
This 918-nucleotide ribosomal RNA is filed under the name uncultured archaeon. RNAcentral describes it as "bacterial SSU rRNA". It matches the Rfam family "Archaeal small subunit ribosomal RNA", at positions 1 to 923 of the family's 1478-position model. The record is from RNAcentral.